Long non-coding RNA from Oreochromis niloticus (Nile tilapia), 213 nucleotides. RefSeq lists it as uncharacterized. NCBI's taxonomy places the organism in Eukaryota, Metazoa, Chordata, Actinopteri, Cichliformes, Cichlidae. The record is from RefSeq and is a predicted model, not a curated record. The transcript is spliced from 2 exons.
CUGUGUGGUUUCCUGGAGAGUCCAGGAUGUGGACUUGAAACUCUGAGUCCAUUGACUGCAGCAGAACAAUGUUCACAUUUCAAACAGUGAGACUCAACGUAUGGCCCGCGGCCCACACGCGGCCUGACUACCUUUCCUGAUUCAGAGAGAGGGGACCCUGAUUAACUGUGUAGCUUCUUCCUCACAGUUCUAAGUAUCAGACACAACAAUGAA